AUUGAACGCUGGCGGCAGGCCUAACACAUGCAAGUCGAGCGAGCGGCGGACGGGUGAGUAAUGUAUGGGGACUGCCCGAUAGAGGGGGAUAACUACUGGAAACGGUAGCUAAUACCGCAUACUAUCGGAUAACCCAUAUGGGAUUAGCUAGUAGGUGGGGUAAUGGCUCACCUAGGCGACGAUCCCUAGCUGGUCUGAGAGGAUGAUCAGCCACCCUGGGACUGAGAAACGGCCAAGACUCCUACGGAGGCAGCAGUGGGGAAUAUUGCACAAUGGGCGCAAGACUGAGGCAGCCAUGCCGCGUGUGUGAAGAAGGCCUUAGGGUUGUAAAGUACUUUCAGUGGGGAGGCGUUACCGGCAGAAGAAGCACCGGCUAACUCCGUGCCAGCAGCCGCGGUAAUAC
This 403-nucleotide ribosomal RNA is filed under the name uncultured bacterium. Its description in RNAcentral is "partial 16S ribosomal RNA". It matches the Rfam family "Bacterial small subunit ribosomal RNA", at positions 30 to 526 of the family's 1533-position model. The record is from RNAcentral.